Small nuclear RNA from Phyllostomus discolor (pale spear-nosed bat), 110 nucleotides. Lineage: Eukaryota; Metazoa; Chordata; Mammalia; Chiroptera; Phyllostomidae. The record is from RefSeq and is a predicted model, not a curated record.
ACGCUCACUUUGGCAGCACGUGUACUAACAUUGGAACGAUGCAGAGAAGCUUACUUAGCAUGGCUCUGCAUGAGGAUGACGUGCAAAUUUGUGAACCAUUCCAUAUUUUA